UACCAACCUUGAUGCAAGUUCUUGUUUCCUUGUGUAGGUCUUCAUAUUGUGAUGUGUCAUUUCUCAGUUCAGUGUUGCAAUUGGUAAAGCCAAUUAUUUCAUAUUCUUUGGGAAAAUGUUCUGCUAAUGAAAACUUAGUGAGUGAUGAUUCUUGUCUUAAUUUAGAAUCAUUAUGCUUUGAUGAACUUUUUGACCUCAUCAAAGAUG
This 207-nucleotide unclassified non-coding RNA is filed under the name Hevea brasiliensis (rubber tree). The record is from RNAcentral. Lineage: Eukaryota; Viridiplantae; Streptophyta; Magnoliopsida; Malpighiales; Euphorbiaceae.